Molecule: long non-coding RNA, 969 nt
Organism: Chinchilla lanigera (long-tailed chinchilla)
Lineage: Eukaryota; Metazoa; Chordata; Mammalia; Rodentia; Chinchillidae
Exons: 4
Source: RefSeq, a predicted model, not a curated record
CUGGUGAAGAGGGAGGCAUUGUCUUCUACGAUUUCCCACCCUCUUUUAGUUUCCUGGCAAAUCUUUGCUGGAAAUGUUAUACGUGAUCUUCUGAGAUGAACCAGAUAAAAAGUUUAUUCUAAGAAGUUUCCCCUGAAGAUGAUCACUAGCUGGCGGAUCAUUUCCUAUAUGGGCAUCAACCAGAGUACUCAUAACAUUCAUAUGAGAAACAAGUGACCCGUUUCCCAUUGAUAGCACAAAGUCAAAUGGGCACAUCAAAGCAUCUUCAUACAAAAGGGAAAAAUGGAAACAAAACUGUGAAUGCAUAAUCCAUGAUGCACUUAUCCAGUGAAAUUCUAUCCCAAAAUCAGAGGAAGAAAUUGUGUAUUAACACAAUUGCAUAGAUGCACCUUAUGUCUUUUGUUAAGUGAAAAUCGUUGGACUCUGUAACUUCAUAUUGUAUGGUUCUACAAAAGAUAAUUCAUUUAUAUAUAUAUUUUGGUACCAGUAAUCGAAGUCAGGAUCUUGCAUUUGCCAGGCAGGUGCUUGUGCUGCUGAGCCAUAUCCCUGGCCCUUGUAUCCUUUUUCAAAAGGUAAACCUCUAUGCAUGGAACAUAUAUUAACCCAACAUAUGAGGUAGUAGAUGACUGUUUGAUUACAGUGGAGGCACAUAGGUCUUUCACAUAAGGUUUAAGGCCACACUGGGGACACAUGGAAAAGGAAAAUACAUGGAAAACCUAAGAGACUGUAUGCCAAGUAAAACAAAGGUGUGUGUAAAAUCCCAAGCCCUUCAAAGAAAUGCUUGUCCCCACUUACCUAGAGCAUAGAGACUCAACACAAUGCAUGGUACAAAUCACAGACUGCAUUUUCAAAUCUCUUACUUGCAAACAUUUCAAUUCAGUUCUCAUAUAUUCUUCUAAAGGAAUAUGACACACACACACACAUCAAAUACGUCUCUACUCUCCUCUCUUUUUUAUUUUAAAGUGGAAA